UUUUUCGGUAAAGGUUGUCUAGAGAGUACUAGAGAGGUGGUAAAACUUUGUCUAAAUGUGCAUAAUGUAUCUUUGAAUGAAAAAUACUUGUGAAUGCCUUAUGAUGUUGGAAGAUCAAAGAAUGAGACAUUCAAAUACUUAAAAGAUAGAGUGUGGAAUAAAAUCUAG
RNAcentral lists this ribosomal RNA (168 nucleotides) under Triticum aestivum (bread wheat). RNAcentral's name for it is "partial small subunit ribosomal RNA". Lineage: Eukaryota; Viridiplantae; Streptophyta; Magnoliopsida; Poales; Poaceae. The record is from RNAcentral.